UACCUCCAACUGGGUGGGCGUUGCUGGGCCAGGGUGGGACUGGCAAGAGGCGGGGCAGGACAGACACACUGGUCCUGGGGAAAUCUGGUCUGCUGGUGGCCAAGGAUCUCCUGAUGAGCUUUCUGUGGGGUUAGAUUAGCCCUGGGGAAAGCAGAGGCGCAGGACAGCCCUCUCGCUGGAGCAGGAGAGACACAGUGCUCUCCCAGUGUCCCUCAAAGCUGCUAAAUCAGCGUGCGUCUGUUAGAGGGUGCUUGGCCUUGGUGUCUCUGUCUCGUGUGAGCUGCUGUCCCUUUACAACCUGGACAUCGCGGUGUGAGCAGGGCAGGCUUACAGCAGUGGUGCGGUGUGAGCAGGGCAGGCUUACAGCAGUGGUGAGGUGUGAGCAGGGCAGGCUUACAGCAGUGGUGCAGUGUGAGCAGGGCAGGCUUACAGCAGUGGUGCAGUGUGAGCAGGGCAGGCUUACAGCAGUGAUGCGGUGUGAGCAGGACAGGCUUACAGCAGUGGUGCAGUGUGAGCAGGGCAGGCUUACAGCAGUGGUGCGGUGUGAGCAGGGCAGGCUUACAGCAGUGGUGCAGUGUGAGCAGGACAGGCUUACAGUAGUGGUAUAGUGUGAACAGAGGUGGGUAUACAGCAGUGGUGAGGUAUGAACAGGGGCAGGCUUACAGUAGUGGUAAGGUGUGAACAGGGGCGGGUUUACAGUAGUGGUGAGGUGUGAACAGAGGUGGGUUUACAGCAGUGGUGAGGUAUGAACAGAGGUGGGUAUACAGCAGUGGCAAGGUGUGAACAGAGGUGGAUAUAAAGCAGUGGUGAGAUAUGAGCAGGGGUAUGUUUACAACAGUGGUGAGGUGUGAGCAAGGCAGGCUUACAGCAGUGAUGAGAUAUGAACAGGGGCGGCUUACAGCAGUGGUGAGGUGUGAACAGAGGUGGGUUUACAGCAGUGGUGAGGUAUGAGCAGAGGUGGGCUUACAGCAGUGGUGAGGUGUGAACAGAGGUGGGCUUACAGCAGUGGUGAGGUGUGAACAGAGGUGGGCUUACAGCAGUGGUGAGGUGUGAACAGAGGUAGGUUUACAGCAGUGGUAAGGUGUGAACAGAGGCAGGCUUACAGCAGUGGUGAGGUAUGAAUAGAGGUGGGUUUACAGCAGUGGUGAGGUAUGAACAGAGGUGGAUUUAUAGCAGUGGUGAGGUGUGAACAGGGGCAGGUUUACAGCAGUGGUGAGAUGUGAGCAGGGCAGGUUUACAGCAAUGGUAGAGUGUGAACAGGGGCAGUCUUCUAGCAGUGGUGAGGUGUGAACAGAGAUGGGUUUACAGCAGUGGUGAGGUGUGAGCAGGACAGGUUUACAGCACUGGUGAGGUGUGAACAGGGCAGGCUUGCAGCACUGGUGAGGUGUGAACAGGGGCGAUCUUCUAGCAGUGGUGAGGUGCAGGUAGGACUGCUGGUCUUGGUUCAUUUGUUAUUGGGUCCUGGGUCCCUUGAUCCUGUCACUUUUUACUGGGACCCAGGACUGGUCCUGGCAGGCGGCCUGCCUAAGGAGCAAGCAAGGCCUCUUAGCUGCACCUGUUGUCAUAGCCACCAGCACCUGGUUCCUGGCUCUGCCAGACUGCACAGUCUAGGCAGGAGCUGGCACGUCAGCUGCGUGCUGCUGCAUUGCAAGGUGAGGGAGGGUGCUCUGUGCCAUGGUGGCCCUGUCACCCAGUCCUGUACUCGUGAGUUCUUGUGGGAGCACGGCUGAGUCUGGCCCAGUGGUGAAGUGGGGGAGGUGUUGUCUGUCACACAGGUCACCCUUGGUGGCUCGGGCGUGGCAGGGCCACUGCUUCUUUCCUUUCAGCUACAGACCAUUGGAGGUCACUGUGAGCACUGACUUCUGACCUUCCAGCCAGACUGGAAACUUCUGGAAUGGGUGUGGCCUUUGUGGUACUCAGUAGGCUGAUGACUUUUUCCUUUUCCUUCCUUCCUUCCUUCCUUCCUUCCUUCCUUCCUUCCUUCCUUCCUUCCUUUCUUUCUCUCUCUUUUUCUCUCUCUCUUUGUUUUAGAGAGAGUGGGUUGUCUGGCCAUGUAGGCCAGGCUGACCCUGAGUUCACCUGGCUUAUAAAUGUUUGAAUGCGCUUCUUACCCAGCGAUUUUGUUUGUUUGGUUGAUUGGUUGGUUUUGGUUUGUUUUGUUGGUUUUUUUUGAGACAGGGUUGCUCUGUGACAACCCUGGCUGUUCUGGAACUCACUCUAUAGACCUGGUUGGUCUCACACUCAGAGAUCCACCUGCCCCGCCUCCUGAUUAAAGGUGUGCACCUCCACUCAGUUAUUUUAACAAAAAGCAAAUGUGAUGUAAAUGAAAAUUCCUCAGAGGGUCUGGCAAGAUGGCCCAGUGGCUCAGAGCACUUGCUGCUCUUGCAGAAGACCUGAUUUGGAUUCCCAGCACUCAAAUGACAGCUCAUAACAGACUCUACUGCCCCACACCCACCGCCUUCUGGCCUCCCGUGCAUUGGUGCAUGUGGUUCAUGCAGGCAGAACGUCCUUACACAUGAGAUCAAAGUAGACGCGUGUAGGGUUUGUGUUUUGUGUUUUGAAAAGGCCUCAAAGGAGCUUUGACCUCUUAACUCUGCUCAUUCUCUUUGUGGUUUCACAGACUGUCUGAGGUCUCCUGGGAGCUUUGUGUAGCAGCUCUGUGCUGCUACAGGAGGCUCUGUGACAGUCCCACCCUCUGCUCUAGAGAGCAGCAGGGCCCACUUGAGGGCAGAGGUCACUGGGUACAGCCGCAUCAGGUCAGCAUGCAGGGAGGUGCAGCAUGGUGGACCUGGAGGUCGAGGGAACGAGAGGCCCAGGCUGGGCCCGGAAGGCGGAUUUGGUGACGAGAGAACAGCACUGUCUCCAGGCACACGGACGGACGGGCUGAGCUUCAGUGAAGCUGGGGAGGGCUGAGCAGAAAUCUCGUGUCUGCAGCAGGGACCUAGGCAGCAGGCUGUGUCCUCAGGGAGGAGAGCCAGGCUGAUUGAGACUGACGUGGAGAAGGCGCAUGUGCUGAGCUUUAGAGCAGGAAGGUUCUGAUCCUGCCGCCAGCUGGGAAGGAACAGACAUCAAGGCAGUGCUGACCGCAGACCGCAGGCUGGGGUGUUCUAGACGGUGUAGGAAGGAAGGAAGAGGUUCUGGUGAGGGUCACAGUCGAGCCUCCAGGCCUGGGAGGACACCUUGCUUCCUUAGACCCUGGGGCUGUGAUCCUUCAAAUCAUAAUGAGCUAUUGUGGGGCUGUUACUGGAAUGCUGUCAGAACUCAAGUGGCCAAGUUGCUGUCCUGAGGCCGGUGGAUGGACUCCGGCCCAGGAGGGUCUGGAGGCUGUUUUAGUUGUGGUUACUCUUGCUGUGAUGAAACACCAGGACUAAAGCAUCCUGGGGAGAACAGGGUUUGCCGCCCACUCCUGUUCAUUGUAGAAGUCAGGACAGGAACUCAAGCAGAACAGGAAGCCGGAGGCAGGAACUGACACAGAGGUCAUGAAGGGGUGCUGCUCCCGGCCUUGCUCCCCGGGCUUGCUCAGCUUAAGUUCUUAUAGAACCCAGGACUGCCAGCCCAGGGAUGGCCCCACCCAUAAUGGGAGGGCCC
Long non-coding RNA from Apodemus sylvaticus (European woodmouse), 3588 nucleotides. RefSeq lists it as uncharacterized. The record is from RefSeq and is a predicted model, not a curated record. The transcript has 2 exons. Lineage: Eukaryota; Metazoa; Chordata; Mammalia; Rodentia; Muridae.